RNAcentral lists this transfer RNA (73 nucleotides) under Protohalopteris sp. Its description in RNAcentral is "tRNA-Ser". Lineage: Eukaryota; Phaeophyceae; Sphacelariales; Stypocaulaceae. The record is from RNAcentral.
UUGUAUGGAAUACUAGUGGUAGUGUACUCGCCUGGAAAGCGAAACGUUGUGGGUUCGAUUCCUGCUAUUCCUA